GAUGAACGCUGGCGGCGUGCCUAAUACAUGCAAGUCGAGCGAACAGACGAGGAGCUUGCUCCUCUGACGUUAGCGGCGGACGGGUGAGUAACACGUGGAUAACCUACCUAUAAGACUGGGAUAACUUCGGGAAACCGGAGCUAAUACCGGAUAAUAUAUUGAACCGCAUGGUUCAAUAGUGAAAGACGGUUUUGCUGUCACUUAUAGAUGGAUCCGCGCCGCAUUAGCUAGUUGGUAAGGUAACGGCUUACCAAGGCAACGAUGCGUAGCCGACCUGAGAGGGUGAUCGGCCACACUGGAACUGAGACACGGUCCAGACUCCUACGGGAGGCAGCAGUAGGGAAUCUUCCGCCAUGGGCGAAAGCCUGACGGAGCAACGCCACGUGAGUGAUGAAGGUCUUCGGAUCGUAAAACUCUGUUAUUAGGGAAGAACAAAUGUGUAAGUAACUAUGCACGUCUUGACGGUACCUAAUCAGAAAGCCACGGCUAACUACGUG
This 497-nucleotide ribosomal RNA is filed under the name uncultured bacterium. RNAcentral describes it as "partial 16S ribosomal RNA". It matches the Rfam family "Bacterial small subunit ribosomal RNA", at positions 28 to 507 of the family's 1533-position model. The record is from RNAcentral.